Long non-coding RNA from Daphnia pulicaria, 1471 nucleotides. RefSeq lists it as uncharacterized. The record is from RefSeq and is a predicted model, not a curated record. Lineage: Eukaryota; Metazoa; Arthropoda; Branchiopoda; Diplostraca; Daphniidae. The transcript has 2 exons.
UGUGUAUACCUUUGACUGUGGCGGUAACUCGAGAUGGACUGGUUGACUGGCUCGGCAAUCUUGUUACCUUUUAUUGUUACCUCCAAAAUUGACUAUACGUGGAAAACUUUGAUGUCAGAAAAAAUGCGUGUUCAUUCAGUUGUAGUUUUAUUUGUUUAGAUAAUGCUCCUCUUCCCAUCUAUUGUUGGAAUAAGUUAGCAACAAAAGCGUUUCCUGUUUCCCGUCUGCCGGGAAGCGAUGAUGGGAAUCGCACGAUCCUCCCAUCACGUCGAAAUCGAUAGUCGCUCAAUUCGUUGCCUUGGAACAAAAGAGUUAUAGGCCGAAUUUCCACGGAAUCAACAAGCCGUGCAUGGGUCAAAAUAACUGUAACCGAGAACUCGAGUAUACGCAAUAUUGUGUCUGUUUCACAUAGCAACAAGAUAUUACUAGGUGUCCCAAAGAGGGUACAGCACUAUACUGCCCUUCAGUCAAAAUGUCAGCCUAUAUCAGCCGGGUGCUGAACUUGAUCGAAUAAAUAAAGGAAUCAUUAUUCGUUUCCGUUACUCAGAAAUGUAAACCGGUUCUCCAUUUUCAAAACAGAGACACAUGGCUGAACGGCACAGACAAACAUGAUGGCUCAUCAUCGCCAAAUGGCCGGGCUCGUUCCAUUAAUAAAUGGAACGAGUCUCAAAUAUUGAAACAAACAGUUAUUUUUUAAAUUGCUCAGCAGAAAACUGGACCCAGUGUUGAUAACCUAGGAUCCGAAUUUCGAGAAUUGCGGCUACAAUUCCACGUCAAGAAGCCUAAACAGAUUGUGGCCUCCUUGCCCUUACGAUUUUCAACUUGAACGCCAAGUAAUAUUAGAUCGACGCUUUCAAGACACAUUUGGAACUGUAGGCUGGCAGAAAGUUUAGAAUUCAGCAAAAUUGAUUAUUUUAUGACAAUCAAAUCGCUGAAAAUCUCAAGUUAAUAUAUUUGAAGUUGAGAAUUAUUCACCGAAUAAGUUUCUAAAUGUAAUUCUGUAUAAUUUUAUAGUUGAAAUCACAUAGUGUCUUGUUAUGGCCUCUGCUUUGGAUUGUGCUGAGUAGUUACAAUUGACUUUCGUACACUGCGUAUAUCAUACGUAUUCAACUAAUUCAAGGACUAAGAAUCAAGUAUCAGUUUGGACGGGAUUUUAUUUAUGCAACGUUGUUGUAUAUGAUGUGAGUGCACUUUUUUCUAACAUGAUAUAUCGAAAUAGGAACUUAAGGUUUCAGAACAAAUCACUGGUUAUAGUCUCUACAUUUUUUGUUUAAGUUAAAAGUCCAAAAGUUUGAAGACAGAAAUUGGACAUGCGGAGAAAUGAGUGAGACAACCGCUGGCUGCUCUACCCUUCAAAUAGGCGUCGUUGUAUUCGUCCUUAUUCCUUUUCCCCAAGAAAUGCAGCUCAGGGGGCAGCGAUGUAAAAUUGAUGAAAUUCUGCUCGUGUUGAGGAAAAUCCGAUUCAGUGGGC